UCCCUGAUAGUAUAGUGGUCAGUGCGCCUGUCUCAAAAACCGUUUCAAGCAGCAAUGCUAUGAAAUGAAAAGUAACCAGGAGGCCGAGGUUCGAUUCCUCGUCAGGGAG
This 109-nucleotide transfer RNA is filed under the name Trichomalopsis sarcophagae. It matches the Rfam family "tRNA". From Rfam's summary of the family: Transfer RNA (tRNA) molecules are approximately 80 nucleotides in length. Their secondary structure includes four short double-helical elements and three loops (D, anti-codon, and T loops). Further hydrogen bonds mediate the characteristic L-shaped molecular structure. tRNAs have two regions of fundamental functional importance: the anti-codon, which is responsible for specific mRNA codon recognition, and the 3' end, to which the tRNAs corresponding amino acid is attached (by aminoacyl-tRNA synthetases). tRNAs cope with the degeneracy of the genetic code in two manners: having more than one tRNA (with a specific anti-codon) for a particular amino acid; and 'wobble' base-pairing, i.e. permitting non-standard base-pairing at the 3rd anti-codon position. Lineage: Eukaryota; Metazoa; Arthropoda; Insecta; Hymenoptera; Pteromalidae. The record is from Rfam by way of RNAcentral.